RNAcentral lists this ribosomal RNA (477 nucleotides) under uncultured bacterium. RNAcentral describes it as "bacterial SSU rRNA". It matches the Rfam family "Bacterial small subunit ribosomal RNA", at positions 28 to 505 of the family's 1533-position model. The record is from RNAcentral.
GACGAACGCUGGCGGCGUGCCUAACACAUGCAAGUCAACUUGACUGAAGGAGCAAUCUGACAGUAGAGUGGCGCAAGGGUGCGUAACGCGUAAGUAACUUGCCCCAAGGUAAGGAAUAACGUCGAGAAAUCGGCGCUAAUACCUCAUAAUGCAGCGGAUCCGCAUGGAUAUGUUGUUAAAGGUUUACCGCCUUGGGAUAGGCUUGCGUCUGAUUAGCUAGUUGGUGUGGUAACGGCACACCAAGGCUACGAUCAGUAACUGGUCUGAGAGGAUGAUCAGUCACACUGGAACUGAGACACGGUCCAGACUCCUACGGGAGGCAGCAGUGAGGAACAUUGGGCAAUGCUCGAAAGAGUGACCCAGCAACGCCGCGUGGAGGAUGAAGGUAUUCUAUAUCGUAAACUCCUGUGAGAGCAGACGAAAGACAGAUUAUAAUCUGGAUGACUGUAUGCUCAGAGGAAGCCCCGGCUAACUACG